This 31-nucleotide non-coding RNA is filed under the name Mus musculus (house mouse). Lineage: Eukaryota; Metazoa; Chordata; Mammalia; Rodentia; Muridae. The record is from RNAcentral.
UGCGAGACUUCCACAGUUCUCCUUGUGGCCA